Molecule: ribosomal RNA, 434 nt
Filed under: uncultured Ruminococcus sp.
Lineage: Bacteria; Bacillati; Bacillota; Clostridia; Eubacteriales; Oscillospiraceae
Description: partial 16S ribosomal RNA
Rfam family: Bacterial small subunit ribosomal RNA
Source: RNAcentral
ACGGAAGGCAGCAGUGGGGAAUAUUGCGCAAUGGGCGCAAGCCUGAUGCAGCGAUGCCGCGUGAGGGAAGAAGGUUUUCGGAUUGUAAACCUCUGUCAACAGGGACGAAAAUGACGGUACCUGUGAAGGAAGCUCCGGCUAACUACGUGCCAGCAGCCGCGGUAAUACGUAGGGAGCAAGCGUUAUCCGGAAUUACUGGGUGUAAAGGGAGUGUAGGCGGGACUGUAAGUCAGAUGUGAAAUAUGCCGGCUCAACUGGCAGACUGCAUUUGAGACUGCGGUUCUUGAGUGAAGUAGAGGUAAGCGGAAUUCCUAGUGUAGCGGUGAAAUGCGUAGAUAUUAGGAGGAACAUCAGUGGCGAAGGCGGCUUACUGGGCAUUAACUGACGCUGAGGCUCGAAAGCGUGGGGAGCAAACAGGAUUAGAUACCCUGGUA